CCUACGGGUGGCAGCAGUAGGGAAUCUUCCACAAUGGGCGGAAGCCUGAAGGAGCAAAGUAGCGUGCAGGAUGAAGGCCCUACGGGUUGUAAACUGCGUUUAUACGGGAGUAACGCGCCUUGAGUGUAUGUCUUUGCAUGUACCGUAUGAAUACUGACCGGCUAAUUCCGUGCCGGCUGCCGCGGUAAUCCGGGAGGUCCGCGGGUUGUGCGGAUUUAUUGGGUUGAACGGAAGCGUAGGCCGGAUGGCCAGCUUGCUGUGAAAUGUCCGGGCUCAACCCGUGCCGUGCAGGGCGUACUGGGGGGCUGGAGUACGGGGAAGGAAGGCGGAAUUCGUCGUGUAGCGGUGAAAUGCGUAGAUAUGAGGAAGAACCCCGAUGGCGAAGGCAGCUUGCUGCACAGGAACUGACGCUGAGGCUCGAAAGCGAGGGUAGCGAACAGGAUUAGAUACCCCAGUAGUC
This 460-nucleotide ribosomal RNA is filed under the name uncultured bacterium. RNAcentral describes it as "partial 16S ribosomal RNA". It matches the Rfam family "Bacterial small subunit ribosomal RNA", at positions 338 to 795 of the family's 1533-position model. The record is from RNAcentral.